This 461-nucleotide ribosomal RNA is filed under the name uncultured bacterium. RNAcentral's name for it is "bacterial SSU rRNA". It matches the Rfam family "Bacterial small subunit ribosomal RNA", at positions 97 to 573 of the family's 1533-position model. The record is from RNAcentral.
GGCGGACGGGUGAGUAACACGUGAGCAACCUGCCUUUCAGAGGGGGAUAACGGCUGGAAACGGUCGCUAAUACCGCAUGAUGUGUUCGGAUGGCAUCAUCUGAACAUCAAAGAUUUAUCGCUGAAAGAUGGGCUCGCGUCUGAUUAGAUGGUUGGUGGGGUAACGGCCUACCAAGUCUACGAUCAGUAGCCGGACUGAGAGGUUGAACGGCCACAUUGGGACUGAGAUACGGCCCAGACUCCUACGGGAGGCAGCAGUGGGGAAUAUUGCACAAUGGGGGAAACCCUGAUGCAGCAACGCCGCGUGAAGGAUGACGGUUUUCGGAUUGUAAACUUCUUUUCUUAGUGACGAAGACAGUGACGGUAGCUAAGGAAUAAGCAUCGGCUAACUACGUGCCAGCAGCCGCGGUAAUACGUAGGAUGCAAGCGUUAUCCGGAUUUACUGGGUGUAAAGGGAGCGCA